Molecule: RNA transcript, 1410 nt
Organism: Panicum virgatum (switchgrass)
Lineage: Eukaryota; Viridiplantae; Streptophyta; Magnoliopsida; Poales; Poaceae
Exons: 7
Source: RefSeq, a predicted model, not a curated record
UCCGUUGAUAGACCAUGUAAUUUGAGUUAUUUUAAAGUCCUUUACUUACAAUUAUAUGUAAAAAGACUAUAUAUAGAACAAACAUUAAGCUCUGAGAAUCAGACAUUUCACCCUCAAUACUAUUUGUGCAAAGUAAAGCCCAAUACAGUCUUUGCAUCUAAGAAUCAGAUCCUUAGCUAAAGUUCACUGUGCAAUUUCCCCUCAGUAAUACGUGACUGCAAUAAGCUCAGUUUCUCUGCUUGCAUAUUGCCUGAAUGCUUUGUCCAAUAUUAACUGUGUGAAAUGCAUGAUUCUUGAUGUUAAAUGCCAGCAUUAGUUCCGUUUUUCGACCUGCAAUGAACUAGCUGCAUGUAGUGUAUGUUUAAGGUUAGUUCACACCUAAUGUCAUACAAUAUACCAAAAUCGGUGAAACACCUGCUUCACCCCAUUUUAUAUUUAGUUUAAUGGCACCACUUCGCCUUGGUGGAAGUAAGAGGACAUAUGCGGAGUAUGCAGAGCCAAAUCCAGCAACGGAUUGCUUAAAGUUGUUCGAUGAUGUUGACGAUUCUCGAGGUCUACCUCAGACUUGGACUAUAAUUGUAAGGAUAGAUGUUAAAUUCCCUAUGGAGCCUAGGUAUCAUGAUAAGCAACACUUCAUCCUUGUCGACACCACUGGUUCCAAAAUUGAAGCAAUUUCAUAUGGCAAUAACGUCCAUCGAUUUGACACACUACUUCAGCAAGGAUGCAAGUACAUUUUGAAAGAUGUAGUUUUUGGGCCAAACUGGGGGGACCUUGAAUUCAGAAAUAUUGGGCAUCGGUUUGAGGUGACAUUGACCAGAAAAACUCGUGUUGAGCCAUACACCUUCCGACUUCAGUUCCCUCCCUGCCCAAAGCAUCUUAUGCCAUUUCAUGAAGUGAUCCGACAACCCAACAAGACAUUUAUGUUAUGGGAAUAGUUGUCCAUAUGGAGCCAUUGGAGCAUGUGGGCAACAGGCUAUAUAGAGAGGUUGUGUUAAUGGAUGCAAGGUGGCACCUUAUUAUUGUUGGGAUUUGGAGUGACCUCUUCUGCCGGAAUUUUCAACGAUGGUACAAAGCUAGAGAUGAAAAGGAAAUUAUAAUUGCCACUAUGCUGCGACGAAACUCUACACACAGAUGCUUGGAGAGCUCAGACCACACAUCACUGGACUUCAACCCAAGACAUCACACAUGGCAUCAACUAGCAACUGUUCGGCGAAUAAUGAUGGAAAGGCAGAAUCUUCGCUUCGUUAACAGAUAUCUUGAAGCAAGAUGGGCAUACUUGGCGACCGUGUUACCACACUGAUCGAUCUGGGAAUCAAGGAAAAUUAGAUGUAGGGUCAUUAGGAAGUGUUUCUAGAUUGUUUGUCACUAGACUAUUUAUCACUGCUAUGUUUUCGAAAUUUGUAUUAAUGU